Molecule: long non-coding RNA, 338 nt
Organism: Nycticebus coucang (slow loris)
Lineage: Eukaryota; Metazoa; Chordata; Mammalia; Primates; Lorisidae
Exons: 3
Source: RefSeq, a predicted model, not a curated record
UAGAUUCAUUCAAACUAACAAUGCAUAUGAGUUUGUCACAGUUUUAACAUAUGCAUUCUUCUUGCAGAUGGUUGAAAAAGAAGGUUAUCUUCAAAAAGCUAAAAUUGCAGAUGGAGGAAAGAAACUAAGUGGGAGAGUUGAUCCAGAAACAUAGCUUCUCAUUACAAUCUACCUCACUUUAAUGAUAAGUGAAAAGGAUUGAGAAGAGUGCUGUAGAUUGUGAUUUGCUACCUGGGACAAUUCUGUGAUAAGGUAUGUCAGUAUUCUCCAGAUAACUUCUUCUUAGAAUAAUCUAUCAUGACUAUUCUUUUAAUAAACAUGUAUUGAACAGCUGUACA